UAAGCCAUGCAUGUCUAAGUAUAAGCAAUUAUACAGCGAAACUGCGAAUGGCUCAUUAAAUCAGUUAUCGUUUAUUUGAUAGUGCCUUACUACCUGGAUAACCGUGGUAAUUCUAGAGCUAAUACAUGCUAAAAACCCCGACUUCGGAAGGGGUGUAUUUAUUAGAUUAAAAACCAACGCCCUCCGGGGCUCCCUUGGUGAUUCAUGAUAACUUCUCGAAUCGCACGGCCUCGCGCCGGCGAUGGUUCAUUCAAAUUUCUGCCCUAUCAACUUUCGACGGCUGGGUAGUGGCCAGCCGUGGUGACAACGGGUAACGGAGGGUUAGGGCUCGACCCCGGAGAAAACGCCUGAGAAACGGCGUUUACAUCCAAGGAAGGCAGCAGGCGCGCAAAUUACCCAAUCCCGACUCGGGGAGGUAGUGACGAUAAAUACUGAUACAGGGCUCUUUUGGGUCUUGUAAUUGGAAUGAGUACAAUUUAAAUCCCUUAACGAGGAACAAUUGGAGGGCAAGUCUGGUGCCAGCAGCCGCGGUAAUUCCAGCUCCAAUAGCGUAUAUUAAAGUUGUUGCAGUUAAAAAGCUCGUAGUUGAACCUUGGGCCUGGCUGGCCGGUCCGCCUCACCGCGUGCACUGGUCCGGCCGGGCCUUUCCCUCUGGGGAGCCGCAUGUCCUUCGCUGGGCGUGUCGGGGAACCAGGACUUUUACUUUGAAAAAAUUAGAGUGUUCAAAGCAGGCCUAUGCUCGAAUACAUUAGCAUGGAAUAAUAGAAUAGGACGCGUGGUUCUAUUUUGUUGGUUUCUAGGACCGCCGUAAUGAUUAAUAGGGACAGUCGGGGGCAUCAGUAUUCAACCGUCAGAGGUGAAAUUCUUGGAUCGGUUGAAGACUAACUACUGCGAAAGCAUUUGCCAAGGAUGUUUUCAUUAAUCAGGAACGAAAGUUAGGGGAUCGAAGACGAUCAGAUACCGUCGUAGUCUUAACCAUAAACUAUGCCGACUAGGGAUCGGACGACGUUAUUUUUUGACUCGUUCGGCACCUUACACGAAAGUACAAGUUUCUGGGUUCUGGGGGAAGUAC
RNAcentral lists this ribosomal RNA (1072 nucleotides) under Ceratosphaeria suthepensis. RNAcentral describes it as "SSU rRNA". It matches the Rfam family "Eukaryotic small subunit ribosomal RNA", at positions 45 to 1126 of the family's 1831-position model. Lineage: Eukaryota; Fungi; Ascomycota; Sordariomycetes; Magnaporthales; Ceratosphaeriaceae. The record is from RNAcentral.